UUGCUAGCUUCAACAGCAUAUAUAUUAAAAUUGGAAUGAUACAGAGAAGAUUAGCAUGGCCCCUGUGCAAGAAUGACAUGCAAAUUCAUGAAUCAUUCCCUAUUUUU
Small nuclear RNA from Meriones unguiculatus (Mongolian gerbil), 107 nucleotides. The record is from Ensembl. NCBI's taxonomy places the organism in Eukaryota, Metazoa, Chordata, Mammalia, Rodentia, Muridae.